Molecule: unclassified non-coding RNA, 253 nt
Filed under: uncultured Pseudomonadaceae bacterium
Lineage: Bacteria; Pseudomonadati; Pseudomonadota; Gammaproteobacteria; Pseudomonadales; Pseudomonadaceae
Description: contains 16S-23S intergenic spacer region
Rfam family: Bacterial small subunit ribosomal RNA
Source: RNAcentral
UACGUAGGGUGCGAGCGUUGUCCGGAAUUAUUGGGCGUAAAGCGCUCGUAGGCGGAUCAGUAAGUCUGUGAAGAAAGACCCGGGCUCAACCUGGGAACUGCAUCCAAAACUGGCAAGCUAGAGUACGGUAGAGGGUGGUGGAAUUUCCUGUGUAGCGGUGAAAUGCGUAGAUAUAGGAAGGAACACCAGUGGCGAAGGCGACCACCUGGACUGAUACUGACACUGAGGUGCGAAAGCGUGGGGAGCAAACAGG